RNAcentral lists this ribosomal RNA (253 nucleotides) under uncultured bacterium. Its description in RNAcentral is "partial 16S ribosomal RNA". It matches the Rfam family "Bacterial small subunit ribosomal RNA", at positions 524 to 776 of the family's 1533-position model. The record is from RNAcentral.
UACAGAGGUCUCAACCGUUGUUCGGAUUCAUUGGGCGUAAAGGGUGCGUAGGCGGUCGCGCAAGUCGGAUGUGAAAUCUUAGGGCUCAACCCUGAAACUGCAUUCGAUACUGCGUGGCUCGAGUACUGGAGAGGAGACUGGAAUUUACGGUGUAGCAGUGAAAUGCGUAGAUAUCGUAAGGAAGACCAGUGGCGAAGGCGAGUCUCUGGACAAUUACUGACGCUGAGGCACGAAGGCCAGGGGAGCAAACGGG